Molecule: ribosomal RNA, 484 nt
Filed under: uncultured bacterium
Lineage: Bacteria
Description: partial 16S ribosomal RNA
Rfam family: Bacterial small subunit ribosomal RNA
Source: RNAcentral
GACGAACGCUGGCGGCGUGCUUAACAUAUGCAAGUCGAACGAUGAAGCCGGAGCUUGCUCUGGUGAAUUAGUGGCGAACGGGUGAGUAACACGUGAGUAACCUGCCCUUGACUCUGGGAUAACUGCUAGAAAUGGUAGCUAAUACCGGAUACGACCCUCGGAGGCAUCUUCAGGGGGUGGAAAGAAUUUCGGUCAAGGAUGGACUCGCGGCCUAUCAGCUAGUUGGUGAGGUAAUGGCUCACCAAGGCGACGACGGGUAGCCGGCCUGAGAGGGUGACCGGCCACACUGGGACUGAGACACGGCCCAGACUCCUACGGGAGGCAGCAGUGGGGAAUAUUGCACAAUGGGCGCAAGCCUGAUGCAGCAACGCCGCGUGAGGGAUGACGGCCUUCGGGUUGUAAACCUCUUUUAGUAGGGAAGGAGCGAAAGUGACGGUACCUGCAGAAAAAGCACCGGCUAACUACGUGCCAGCCGCCGCGGUAA